ACUCGUUCUAACUUCUCUAAGCGAUAUCAUUACUGAAAUGCUUGAAUAUACUUAGUUGUGCCUUUAAUGUCCCAGCAGGCUGCCAUACUUCUUACUAUAAAUAUCUUUAGCCACUCCUCUGGACUCACUGGGUCUUUUUCUUUCUGCAAGGAAGACGUAACUCUGGCUGUGAUGCCACUGUUGUGCCAAAAGUGGGCAAAAAGAAACUGGCUUGUGAUCGACCCUGCUGUCCUGCACGGUGGACCUGGGGCUUGGAACGAGGCCGGAUAACCCAACCCAGACCUCAAUUCUAACUGUGCUUUGUGAUGUCAAGACAGAAAUGGAAUGGAUGAAGAAUGGAGCUCCAUUAACUUGUGACUUAAAGUGCCCCUAUUAUGCUUUUUCAGAUAUUACAGUUGUGACCAAUCACAACAGACUGGACCAUAUGACCAAUCAGAGCAGAGUAGACCAAUCACAACAGACUGGGCCACCUGACCAAUCAGAGCAGAGUAGACCAAUCACAACAGACUGAACCAGGCGCUCAGAAAGGAGGGAUGUGAGAGGGAUUUCGGACAUUGUGAGAAAAAGGGUGAUGCUGCAAUGUAUACCAGGAGAAAAGUAACGUUUUUUAACAUGUUGCAUGUAAACCUGUUGUAGGAGCCUCCAAAACAACAUUAGGAACCUUUAAAAUAGUAUAACAGAGGCACUUUAACACAGUACCCUAAACAGACGUCAGAGGUCGACUGCAGAAAGCUGGACUAAAACAUGACAAAUCAAAUGGAUCGAGUCAGCUGAUCGAAACAUUUUCAUCUGCUGUGUGCCACAUGUGUCUGACUCAACUCGGGUUGUUGAUCUCCACCUGCUCUUUGGGCCAGCUGAACAAGAUCACAUGACCAUCAUCCACAACAUCCUUCAUUCUGAUUGGUCAGUUGUUUUAACGAGCCAAGUGGAAAGUUGUUUUCACUCGCAUCAAUAAUCCAGUGUCAGUUUAAUUCACAGUGAACUGGUCACUAUCACAAAAUAAAUGUGUCUUUCUCCAUAAUUGAUCAUGAAAAAAGUAAAAGUUUGGGGUUAUGAAGAUAUAGUUAAAAAAUUCUGCAAGGAUGCAUUGUUUUAAAAAAAAUCUAUUUCAAAUAGAUUCUAUUCUUGCAAACGUUUUAUUCAAUAUUGAUAGUAAGAAAUAUGCAAAUUGGCAUAUUAGAAUGAUUUCUGAAGGAUCAUGUGACACUGAAGAUGCUGAAAAUUCAGCUUUACAUAGUAACGCAAGUUCACAUUUUAAAUAUGAAAUGCUUUAAAUGCAUGUAAAAUAUGCUAUAAUAAAUAUCUGCAUCUAGA
This is a non-coding RNA of Pimephales promelas (fathead minnow), 1314 nucleotides long. The record is from RefSeq and is a predicted model, not a curated record. NCBI's taxonomy places the organism in Eukaryota, Metazoa, Chordata, Actinopteri, Cypriniformes, Leuciscidae.